RNAcentral lists this ribosomal RNA (253 nucleotides) under uncultured bacterium. RNAcentral describes it as "partial 16S ribosomal RNA". It matches the Rfam family "Bacterial small subunit ribosomal RNA", at positions 524 to 776 of the family's 1533-position model. The record is from RNAcentral.
UACAGAGGUCCCGAGCGUUGUUCGGAUUCACUGGGCGUAAAGGGUGCGUAGGCGGCCGGGUCAGUCUGAUGUGAAAUCUCGGAGCUCAACUCCGAAAUGGCAUUGGAAACUAUCCGGCUCGAGGUUGGGAGGGGGGACUGGAAUUCUCGGUGUAGCAGUGAAAUGCGUAGAUAUCGAGAGGAACACCAGUGGCGAAGGCGAGUCCCUGGACCAAUCCUGACGCUGAGGCACGAAAGCCAGGGGAGCAAACGGG